RNAcentral lists this ribosomal RNA (1119 nucleotides) under Triticum aestivum (bread wheat). RNAcentral's name for it is "partial small subunit ribosomal RNA". The record is from RNAcentral. Lineage: Eukaryota; Viridiplantae; Streptophyta; Magnoliopsida; Poales; Poaceae.
AUGCCGGAUCUCCCGGAUUAUAUAAUACCAAGACUAAAGAUGCGAUUCCAAGAUGUAGAAAAAGCAAGGGAAUUUUAUAACAGAUACGCCAGACACACUGGUUUUGGAAUCAGGAAGGGGGGGAAUGACAACCACAAGUAUUUUGUUUGCGCGUUCCAAGGGAUACAAACAACUUCUGUUUUAGAGGCUAACAGGAAGCGAAACAAAACAUCGCAGAGGACAGGCUGCAAUGCAAGAAUGAGGGUGAAGGUGCAGGAGGAUAACACAUGCGUGGCUGUGAAUAUUGAGUACAAUCAUAAUCACCAACUCAUGCAAACUGAUGACAUGCUGGUUUUAUUGCACUCACACAAGAAUUACGACCCCACUAUUUUGGAGUACAUAAAGCUCCUACAGUACCAUGAUGUCAAGCACACAACAAUCAUGUCCAUGCUAUCUGAAAAUGAAGAUGGAAGCUACUUCCAAAGCAUGACCGGACGAGACCUCCUAAACCAGAAAGCCAUGAAUGCAAGGAAAGAUGAUUUGAAUGAUGUACUGAAACUUGUUUCAUUCUUCAAAGACAUGAAGGCAAUCAAUGAUAUGUUUUUCUAUGACAUACAAGUAGACAAGGACAAGUGAAUUAAAAACAUUUUCUGGUCCAAUGCAAGCUGCCGAGGAGCCUAUCAAGACUUUGGGGAUUGUGUAAUGUUCGACACAACUUACAAGACCAACAGAUUUCGUAUGCCUCUGGGAGUGUUUGUUGGAACAAACCAUCACUUGUAGUCAACGAUAUUUGAUGUUGCUCUGAUCAGAGACGAAGAUGCAAAGUCAUUCAAGUGGCUGUUCGAUACAUUUGUACGGUGCAUGAACAACAAGCACCCAACUUGCAUUCUAACAGGGGUAUGUAUUGGGCAGACUACUGCCCGUACACAAUCAUUUCCAAACACCGUACACAAGCUAUGACGUUGGCACAUCAUGAAGAAGUACAGGGAAUACCUUGCGUUGCUGUACAAAAAGUGUAAAAAAUUCAAAGAGGAGUUCACAACUAUAUUAAACUGGUCGCUAAUGCCAAUAGAGUUCGAAGCUGCUUGGGCUGAACUCGUGCACAAGUACAACUUGGAGAACGGCCAGAUGAUGAUGUAG